AGCGAACGCUGGCGGCAGGCCUAACACAUGCAAGUCGAACGAACCUUUCGGGGUUAGUGGCGGACGGGUGAGUAACACGUGGGAACGUGCCUUUAGGUUCGGAAUAACUCAGGGAAACUUGUGCUAAUACCGAAUGUGCCCUUCGGGGGAAAGAUUUAUCGCCUUUAGAGCGGCCCGCGUCUGUUUAGCUGGUUGGUUGAGGUAAUGGCUCACCAAGGCGACGAUCAGUAGCUGGUCUGAGAGGAUGAUCGGCCACAUUGGGACUGAGACACGGCCCAAACUCCUACGGGAAGCAGCAGUGGGGAAUCUUGCGCAAUGGGCGAAAGCCUGACGCAGCCAUGCCGCGUGAAUGAUGAAGGUCUUAGGAUUGUAAAAUUCUUUCACCGGGGACGAUAAUGACGGUACCCGGAGAAGAAGCCCCGGCUAACUUCGUG
Molecule: ribosomal RNA, 434 nt
Filed under: uncultured bacterium
Lineage: Bacteria
Description: partial 16S ribosomal RNA
Rfam family: Bacterial small subunit ribosomal RNA
Source: RNAcentral